Non-coding RNA from Caenorhabditis elegans, 177 nucleotides. NCBI's taxonomy places the organism in Eukaryota, Metazoa, Nematoda, Chromadorea, Rhabditida, Rhabditidae. The record is from Ensembl.
GCGGGGCGGACUUGAACUCGCGAACUUCAGCGCGCCAGUGCGCCACCCGUAAAAGUAGCUUGAAAACUUUGCGCGUCAAAUUCGGUGUAUCGGGCUCAGCAACACAGACAGCUUGACGGGAAAAUUUCGAGGCGCUGCGCAAGCCGGGCGGCCUUGAAUCCGGGAAAAAAACACGAA